GUCGAACGGCAGCACGGGUGGUGCACCUGGUGGCGAGUGGCGAAUGGGGAGCCUUAUCGGACGUACUUAUUGUGGGGGAAACGUAAAGAAAGCUGUGCUAAUACCGCAUAUCCCUAAGGGGGAAAGCGGGGGACCGUAAGGCCUCGCGCAAUUAGAGCGGCCGAUACCUGAUUAGCUAGUUGGUGAGGUAAAGGCUCACCAAGGCAACGAUCAGUAGCUGGUCUGAGAGGACGAUCAGCCACACUGGGACUGAGACACGGCCCAGACUCCUACGGGAGGCAGCAGUGGGGAAUUUUGGACAAUGGGGGCAACCCUGAUCCAGCAAUGCCGCGUGAGUGAAGAAGGCCUUCGGGUUGUAAAGCUCUUUUGUCAGGGAAGAAACAGCAGCUCUAACACAGUUUGCAAUGACGGUACCUGAAGAAUAAGCACCGGCUAACUACGUGCCAGCAGCCGCGGUAAUACGUAGGGUGCAAGCGUUAAUCGGAAUUACUGGGCGUAAAGCGUGCGCAGGCGGUUAUGUAAGACAGGCGUGAAAUCCCCGGGCUUAACCUGGGAAUUGCGCUUGUGACUGCAUAGCUAGAGUAUGUCAGAGGGGGGUAGAAUUCCACGUGUGGCAGUGAAAUGCGUAGAGAUGUGGAGGAAUACCAAUGGCGAAGGCAGCCCCCUGGGAUAAUACUGACGCUCAUGCACGAAAGCGUGGGGGAGCAAACAGGAUUAGAUACCCUGGUA
This 729-nucleotide ribosomal RNA is filed under the name uncultured bacterium. RNAcentral's name for it is "bacterial SSU rRNA". It matches the Rfam family "Bacterial small subunit ribosomal RNA", at positions 61 to 792 of the family's 1533-position model. The record is from RNAcentral.